This 497-nucleotide ribosomal RNA is filed under the name uncultured bacterium. RNAcentral describes it as "partial 16S ribosomal RNA". It matches the Rfam family "Bacterial small subunit ribosomal RNA", at positions 28 to 507 of the family's 1533-position model. The record is from RNAcentral.
GAUGAACGCUGGCGGCGUGCCUAAUACAUGCAAGUCGAGCGAACGGACGAGAAGCUUGCUUCUCUGAUGUUAGCGGCGGACGGGUGAGUAACACGUGGAUAACCUACCUAUAAGACUGGGAUAACUUCGGGAAACCGGAGCUAAUACCGGAUAAUAUUUUGAACCGCAUGGUUCAAAAGUGAAAGACGGUCUUGCUGUCACUUAUAGAUGGAUCCGCGCUGCAUUAGCUAGUUGGUAAGGUAACGGCUUACCAAGGCAACGAUGCAUAGCCGACCUGAGAGGGUGAUCGGCCACACUGGAACUGAGACACGGUCCAGACUCCUACGGGAGGCAGCAGUAGGGAAUCUUCCGCAAUGGGCGAAAGCCUGACGGAGCAACGCCGCGUGAGUGAUGAAGGUCUUCGGAUAGAAAAACUCUGUUAUUAGGGAAGAACAUAUGUGUAAGUAACUGUGCACAUCUUGACGGUACCUAAUCAGAAAGCCACGGCUAACUACGUG